This is a long non-coding RNA of Salvelinus sp. IW2-2015, 238 nucleotides long. RefSeq lists it as uncharacterized. NCBI's taxonomy places the organism in Eukaryota, Metazoa, Chordata, Actinopteri, Salmoniformes, Salmonidae. The record is from RefSeq and is a predicted model, not a curated record.
UAAAACCGAACGUCGACCUCUGCCUGAGAUCAGUUUCAUGAAGAAGGAUGAAAMGGGGAGGGCGUUCAAUACCAACUGCUAUCAAAGAGGUGAUGACAGCUCCRCUCCACUACCAUUGUCAACUCUCUCCUGCCAUGAACUGAAUCCACGCCUCAUGUGCCUGAUCAUUCACUGGCACAUUUUAUGUUUCCUCUCUAAGCACUUCAAAUCCUGCAUUGAAGUCAAGCCUCUGAACACC